UCGAACGAGAUCUUCGGAUCUAGUGGCGCACGGGUGAGUAACGCGUGGAAACCUACCAUUCUGUACGGAAUAACGCUUGGAAACGAUCGCUAAUACCGUAUACGCCCUGUGGGGGAAAGGUCCGCCGCAGAAUGAGGGGUCCGCGUCCGAUUAGCUAGUUGGUAAGGUAAUGGCUUACCAAGGCGACGAUCGGUAGCUGGUCUGAGAGGAUGAUCAGCCACACUGGGACUGAGACACGGCCCAGACUCCUACGGGAGGCAGCAGUGGGGAAUAUUGGACAAUGGGGGCAACCCUGAUCCAGCAAUGCCGCGUGUGUGAUGAAGGCCUUAGGGUUGUAAAACACUUUCAAUGGUGAAGAUGAUGACGGUAACCAUAGAAGAAGCCCCGGCUAACUUCGUGCCAGCAGCCGCGGUAAUACGAAGGGGGCGAGCGUUGUUCGGAAUUACUGGGCGUAAAGGGCGCGCA
RNAcentral lists this ribosomal RNA (465 nucleotides) under uncultured Alphaproteobacteria bacterium. Its description in RNAcentral is "bacterial SSU rRNA". It matches the Rfam family "Bacterial small subunit ribosomal RNA", at positions 62 to 573 of the family's 1533-position model. The record is from RNAcentral. Lineage: Bacteria; Pseudomonadati; Pseudomonadota; Alphaproteobacteria.